AACGAACGCUGGCGGCAUGCCUAACACAUGCAAGUCGAACGAAUGGUUUCGGCCAUUAGUGGCGCACGGGUGAGUAACGCGUGGGAAUCUGCCCAGCAGUGGGGGAUAACCUCUGGAAACGGAGGCUAAUACCGCAUACGCCCCUCGGGGGAAAGGCUUGCUGCUGCUGGAGGAGCCCGCGUCGGAUUAGGUAGUUGGUGGGGUAACGGCCUACCAAGCCUGUGAUCCGUAGCUGGUCUGAGAGGAUGAUCAGCCACACUGGGACUGAGACACGGCCCAGACUCCUACGGGAGGCAGCAGUGGGGAAUAUUGGACAAUGGGCGCAAGCCUGAUCCAGCAAUGCCGCGUGAGUGAUGAAGGCCUUCGGGUUGUAAAGCUCUUUCGCCCACGACGAUGAUGACGGUAGUGGGAGAAGAAGCCCCGGCUAACUUCGUG
Molecule: ribosomal RNA, 435 nt
Filed under: uncultured bacterium
Lineage: Bacteria
Description: bacterial SSU rRNA
Rfam family: Bacterial small subunit ribosomal RNA
Source: RNAcentral